GGCAAUGACGCAGCUAGUGAGGUACUAACCGAGGCGCGUCUAUUGCUGGUUGAAAACUAUUUCCAAACCCCCUCUUCGGCUUGGGUUCGCCUAUGGCCGUCGAGAAUUUCUGGAAGGGCUCCCUUAAUAAGGGUAAAGCCCUACAAUUCUUAUGGGCGGCUAUUUUAUGUCAAUCUCUUUGUUAUGUCUCUAUCAAAUUUGAUAGUGAUGAUUGUUAAACUUAAUCGGAUUGUGGGAAUAGAAAAUAUUUAACGAAUUUUUGUCUCUUUGUUAUGUCUAUCAAAUUUGAUAGUGAUGAUUGUUAAACUUAAUCGGAUUGUGGGAAUAGAAAAUAUUUAACGAA
Long non-coding RNA from Lycium ferocissimum, 343 nucleotides. RefSeq lists it as uncharacterized. The transcript has 2 exons. NCBI's taxonomy places the organism in Eukaryota, Viridiplantae, Streptophyta, Magnoliopsida, Solanales, Solanaceae. The record is from RefSeq and is a predicted model, not a curated record.